Molecule: ribosomal RNA, 917 nt
Filed under: Salmonella enterica
Lineage: Bacteria; Pseudomonadati; Pseudomonadota; Gammaproteobacteria; Enterobacterales; Enterobacteriaceae
Description: partial 23S ribosomal RNA
Rfam family: Bacterial large subunit ribosomal RNA
Source: RNAcentral
UGUCUCCACCCGAGACUCAGUGAAAUUGAACUCGCUGUGAAGAUGCAGUGUACCCGCGGCAAGACGGAAAGACCCCGUGAACCUUUACUAUAGCUUGACACUGAACAUUGAGCCUUGAUGUGUAGGAUAGGUGGGAGGCUUUGAAGUGUGGACGCCAGUCUGCAUGGAGCCGGCCUUGAAAUACCACCCUUUAAUGUUUGAUGUUCUAACGUGGACCCGUGAUCCGGGUUGCGGACAGUGUCUGGUGGGUAGUUUGACUGGGGCGGUCUCCUCCUAAAGAGUAACGGAGGAGCACGAAGGUUGGCUAAUCCUGGUCGGACAUCAGGAGGUUAGUGCAAUGGCAUAAGCCAGCUUGACUGCGAGCGUGACGGCGCGAGCAGGUGCGAAAGCAGGUCAUAGUGAUCCGGUGGUUCUGAAUGGAAGGGCCAUCGCUCAACGGAUAAAAGGUACUCCGGGGAUAACAGGCUGAUACCGCCCAAGAGUUCAUAUCGACGGCGGUGUUUGGCACCUCGAUGUCGGCUCAUCACAUCCUGGGGCUGAAGUAGGUCCCAAGGGUAUGGCUGUUCGCCAUUUAAAGUGGUACGCGAGCUGGGUUUAGAACGUCGUGAGACAGUUCGGUCCCUAUCUGCCGUGGGCGCUGGAGAACUGAGGGGGGCUGCUCCUAGUACGAGAGGACCGGAGUGGACGCAUCACUGGUGUUCGGGUUGUCAUGCCAAUGGCACUGCCCGGUAGCUAAAUGCGGAAGAGAUAAGUGCUGAAAGCAUCUAAGCACGAAACUUGCCCCGAGAUGAGUUCUCCCUGAGACUUAGAGUCUCCUGAAGGAACGUUGAAGACGACGACGUUGAUAGGCCGGGUGUGUAAGCGCAGCGAUGCGUUGAGCUAACCGGUACUAAUGAACCGUGAGGCUUAACCUUACA